GGGGUUGUGGCUAGACGGUAGAGCACUCACCUAGCAUGUGCGAGGCCCUGGGUUCGAUCCUCAGCACCACA
This 71-nucleotide transfer RNA is filed under the name Marmota monax (woodchuck). Its description in RNAcentral is "tRNA.Ala". Lineage: Eukaryota; Metazoa; Chordata; Mammalia; Rodentia; Sciuridae. The record is from RNAcentral.